UCAAUUCAUCUUGAAUUCUCCAUCAAUUGGAAGAUUAUUCUUAUGAAUUUGGGUAAAGAAUGAGAGAUGGCAUAUCAAUUGACCUGAAUUGCCACCAUGAGUCUAAGCCGUUACAAGCCGAAAAAUUACCGCCAUGAGUGUAAGAAGAGCUAUCUUGUAGCCACGACAGGUGAUCUAGGGAUGAAUCGAAUUAUGUCUGAGAAGCUGGACCAGAGAGGAAUGAUUGCACAUAUUUGUGCUGUUUUGGAGUUGCAGCAGAGGUUUAUGACAACCAAUAUUUUCAUAAAAACGGUUGAGACUGAGAGAAAAGUUCCAUGGUUCAUCUUAUUUCCUCGAUGUGAGGUAAAGACAUAUAAGUUGCUAAGUGAUUGCUUGUUGAUGAGAGAAUGCUUGAUCUUAAACACUACAGAAAGGUUGCAUCUCGAUCUUAUAUACAUGACACUGACGCAAAACCACUCAUGUAAUCGGUUGUAAUAUAAUCAAACAUUGUGGAUUGCAGGACACAGUGAAUCUCAUGGCAACCGUUUUGUUA
This is a long non-coding RNA of Camelina sativa (false flax), 532 nucleotides long. RefSeq lists it as uncharacterized. The record is from RefSeq and is a predicted model, not a curated record. Lineage: Eukaryota; Viridiplantae; Streptophyta; Magnoliopsida; Brassicales; Brassicaceae.